Molecule: long non-coding RNA, 1783 nt
Organism: Lonchura striata (white-rumped munia)
Lineage: Eukaryota; Metazoa; Chordata; Aves; Passeriformes; Estrildidae
Source: Ensembl
AAAAAAACCGUUUUCCGCCCUUCCGGGCUCGGGCGGUGGCAGCUGCGGAGCGAGGCGGGGCGAGCGCUCCCACCGCCUCCCCGCGCCCGCCCUCCCGCCUGAGCCCCAGCCCGCGCCCGAGCCGCCCUCACACACCCACCGCCCGCCCGGCUUCGCAUCCCGCCGCUCCCAGCAUGGUCAUCAAGGUCUACAUCGCCUCUUCCUCCGGCUCCACGGCGGAUCGUCUGGUUUCUCUUUGAUCCAUGUGGGAGAUGCUCCGAGGCUGAAAUCCGGGGGAUUUGGUUGCACUUGGUAUGGAUGUGCUGGAGAACUACAAAAUGCCAGGGACUCAGAAAAGGCCAGCUAUUUGCAGUUAAUGAUCAGUGACUUUUACUGCAAGGAGAAAAAGAGUCUGAGCUGUGGCUGUAUGAUGACCUUUUCCUGUCACUGUUCACGCUUCAGGUCCCCAAACUUUGGGAGGACUGUGAUGUACAGAAGACAAAAAUAAGCCCUCACUGCAUUCUCCUUCUUUGAGUGCAGCCACUGGUCUGUGGGCUUCAGCAGAUCAAAUACCAAUUGGUAAGCUUGGGGUGACGGGCUGCAGAUGGCACAGGAGCCUGUGCCUCAGGUGUCCCUGCUGUCCCUCCCUUCCCAGGUCAUUUUUAGUAAACUUGAUGCCAGCGCUGACAGUGCUGGUGCUGGUGGUGAAAAGCAGAGGAUUAUUUCAUGCUGACCAGGGAGGGUCUUGAAAUCCUGAGUAGUUCAAUCAUAAAAGGGACCCAAAGGGAUUUCUGCUGGGUUCAUACAGAAUGAUCAUCUGGAAGGAAAGCAGCAGAUUGGAAAAGUAAUCUUUUUCUUUCUAAUGCAGCUGUUAAUAGGUUUCAAGUUGACUGCUUCAGUUGCUAUAGAUUUUUAUCAGCGCCCUCUUCAUGGCACCUAUUGAUUUCUGUCUGUCUGGCGAUACUGAGCUCUAGGGGUGCAAGCACAGAUCUCAAUGCCAAUUGUGUUUUUCUGGUUUUAAAUUAAGUUUUUUAAUUAUUAUCUUAGUGUCUUCUACAGUGCUGCCUGGUCCUUGUGUGGGUUGUACAUGUUACAAAGCUCCAGUCUGACUAACUGCUGCCUUUCAGGCUCCUUUGUGCAUCCCUGCCUGUGGAAUUUGAAUGUAGCGUUGGUGUCGUCUGUUUUUUGGGGAAUUUGAGUGUAAUGUGCACAUGAUUGCCAGUUUUAUGACGUGUAUAUUUUUAUAUAUAUACGCACACACAUUCACUCAUGACUGUCUAAAGCUGGAGCAGUUCAAGAGAUCUUGUGGUAAUGAGCAAGACUUGCACAUUCUUAGAUUCCUGCGUACACUGAGGGUGUUUCUGUUGGCAGGACCAGCCCAGCACCUCACUGGGUGAUGUUUUCUUUCCAGCAUAAGAAUUUUAAUCGAUGUUUCAACCUAAAGUAAGACAGAGAGGCACCUCUUUGGAGGGAAUGGGAACGAGUUUUUUCUGUGGCUCUUAAAACUGUUGGUGCGACAGGCUUUGGUUGGAGGACCAGAGAAGCCAUUCUGGGUGCUGAAUCUGAAAUAACUCACUCCAGGAAUGGAAAAUCCACAUCAGAGAAGAUUGCUACAGAGAAACGGAACAGGGACGAGGCUGUUUGCAGCAAAGUGACUGAACUGGGUAACAUCAGCCUGGGCAGGGCUCUCACUCCUUGUACUGUAGUGACACCCAGCACUGUGUUAUUUUGGGUUUUAAAAGGCUAAUUUGCCUGAGUAGAAGCAAACCAGAAAUAAAUAUCAAAUCUCCUCCUUCCUGCCCCA